RNAcentral lists this ribosomal RNA (433 nucleotides) under uncultured bacterium. RNAcentral describes it as "partial 16S ribosomal RNA". It matches the Rfam family "Bacterial small subunit ribosomal RNA", at positions 29 to 507 of the family's 1533-position model. The record is from RNAcentral.
AACGAACGCUGGCGGCAUGCCUAACACAUGCAAGUCGAACGAGACCUUCCGGUCUAUUUGCGCACGUGUGCGGAACGCCUGGGAACCUACCCGUAAGUUCGGAAUAACUCCCUUUAAGGGGUGCUAAUAACACAUAAUUUCUUCGGACCAAAGAUUUACCGCCUUUGGAUGGGCCCUCGUUGGUUUAGCUAGUUGGUAGGGGAAAAGCCUACCAAGGAGACGAUCCAUAGCUGGUAUGAGAGGAUGAUAAGCCACACUGGGGCUCAGACACGGCCCCGUAUGGGACGGGAGGGAGCAGAGGGGAAUAUUAGACAAUGGGCGAAAGCCUGAUCAAGCAAUGUCGGGUGAGUGAUGAAGGCGGUAGGGUUGUAAAGCUCUUUUUGCCGGGAUGAUAAUGACGGUACCGGGAGAAGAAGCACCGGCUAACUCCGUG